UCUUAGCUUUAGCUAACUCGGAGAAUCAUAGUAAUGAGACGUUUGAUUCUGUGUUGUGUUUUGUUUUGAACAAUUCUUGCCUACUAAGAAAGUUAAAGAGCGAGUUAAGUUUGUUCUGUGACAUCUUAUUCUUGUUGUUGUUCUGUUAAUUGUUCUUGUUAUUGUUCUGUUAAGUUAAAAACGUGUGGCUUGGUCUUGUUUUCUAAGCAGGUAACAUGACACAAGACGACGCAUGAAGUUGGUUGCUGUUUCUAAAAAAACACGAGGCAUGAAGUUGGUAGAAAGUGACUUGGGAGUGGAAGGAUCACGGACUUGUGUCUUGUGGUGUUUGUGUACUUUGUUGAUUGUAUCAUUACAGGGAAUCAGAAUCAUCCAAGCAGCAGCUGGUGCUGGCCGUACAAUGCUGAUAAGUGAUAGUGGAAACGUUUACUCGUGUGGGAAAGAUUCGUUCGGUGAAGCUGAAUACGGAGGGCAAGGGUCUAAUGUUCCUGGUCUUGUUGUCUAGUUCGUAUGUCAGGAUCACUCACUCUAUCUUCAAAGAACGUCAAGAAUGGCUCGAAAAAGGUGUGUGUGUGUGUUGGAGUGUCUGUUGUAGUGUCACGAGAAAUGUGUGUCUGUUGUAGUUGUUGUCUUGUGGUACAAACAGUUCGAGAUGAAGACAACAACUGAGAGUUCGACAUGUUUAUUUUAAAUUAUUUUCGUUUAUUGUACUAAUUUUUUUUUAUGUUUUUUUUAAUCUAUGUUUUAAAUGUUAUCUUUUAAUAUGUUUUAUUUAAUAAAUAAAUUUUAUCUUAAAAAAAAAUUUAAAUUCUUUUUUAAGAAUCUCUAAUUAAGAAACUCCCAUUGCACCACUCAAAAUAAGAGUUCUUAACUACAGUUCUUAACCCUACUAAAGUACAUUUAUAUAACUAAAUUAUCAUUAAGAAACCCAUUUAAAAGUCAUGGGAUAAUCAUGCUCUUAUAUUACAAUGGUAAGAAAUAUUUUUAACUAACUUAUAAAAUCUCUUAAUGAUUCCGAUGGAAAAAAUGUUAUAGCUUCCUGCGGAUAGAAACUGUCUGAUGUUGUAGCUAUUUGUCAUAGUUGUGGAGCCGGAAGUCUCAACGAUGUUGAGGAUCAGCUUUGCAUUUAUAAACUGGAUGUCUUUUUUUUAUGAGGGAUUUGCUAUUUUUGAUGUAAGU
This is a long non-coding RNA of Brassica napus (rape), 1179 nucleotides long. RefSeq lists it as uncharacterized. The record is from RefSeq and is a predicted model, not a curated record. The transcript has 3 exons. NCBI's taxonomy places the organism in Eukaryota, Viridiplantae, Streptophyta, Magnoliopsida, Brassicales, Brassicaceae.